UUUCCGUUGGUGAACCAGCGGAAGGAUCAUUACAGAGAUCAUGCCCCUCGCGGGUAGACCUCCCACCCUGUGUUAUUUACGAUUGUUGCUUUGGCAGGUCGCCUUCGGGCACUCGGCUCCGGCUGAGGUGCGCCCGCCAGAGGACCCCAAACUCUAAAUUUUAAUGUCGUCUGAGUACUAUAUAAUAGUUAAAACUUUCAACAACGGAUCUCUUGGUUCUGGCAUCGAUGAAGAACGCAGC
This 241-nucleotide unclassified non-coding RNA is filed under the name uncultured fungus. Its description in RNAcentral is "sequence contains ITS1, 5.8S rRNA gene". The stretch from base 193 to 241 matches the Rfam family "5.8S ribosomal RNA", at positions 1 to 49 of the family's 154-position model. The record is from RNAcentral. Lineage: Eukaryota; Fungi.